Molecule: long non-coding RNA, 4241 nt
Organism: Sapajus apella (tufted capuchin)
Lineage: Eukaryota; Metazoa; Chordata; Mammalia; Primates; Cebidae
Exons: 2
Source: RefSeq, a predicted model, not a curated record
UCCAUCUCCCAAAAAAAAAAAAAAAAAAAAGAAAGAAAUUGCAUUUUGCUUAAUCAUAAAUUUGUGAAAGUAAUUGACUUGACUGAAACUAAAAGUAUUUUUUCUGCUUUCUGGUGUUUUAAAACCAACCUUUUGAUAAUGGACUAUUUUUAUAUCACUGUACUUAAUUUUCCAGUGUCCAUAGAAUUUGGAAUUCAUUGUAUUACCACAAUAUAUUUCUAUUUUUGGUUUUUUCCUCUCUGUGUAUUAGGGUUUAGUUUCUCAAUCAGUGUUAUAGUUUAACUUAAGAGAUCGAAAUAAAAAGAAAUAGCCGACAGUUUCCUUGACCAGCCUGUUCACGUUGGAAUCACCUCUCCUGUGUUGACCCAUGGCACAUUUUAUUUACAUGUUGAGAUGUGAGCAGCUGUCCUGCAAGGUUCUUGUGAGCCAAGGAGGUAAUAUAUGCAGACAUUAGAGGUAAGGCACAAGGUAAGAUUUGGGAAGAUUAGUCAACAUAAGGAAAGACAACCACAUUGCCUGAAGCUAGGCCUGCAAGAGAUCUAGGUUAGCACCACUUAGAUUUUAGGGGCAGGUGACUGAGAAGAUUGAGAAGAAAAGAAGAAAAUACUUUAUUGCAGAGGAGAUUAUAGCAUGACUCCAGUGAGCUGAAAAUGUUAUGAUAUUUUUCAGAGGCACUCAUCAAAUCUGAUAUGUAGGCUGUUGAUGUACAGAGAAAAAAUAUUGAGACCUACCUAGCAUUCAUAGAGAGUCAGAGAAAGAAAAGAUGGAAGAGGGAUCUACUCAUAGCAACACAAGUGGCAAUGGCUGUGAUAGGCUUUUGUUCUAUAUCAGGUUUCUUUUAUUAUUAUUAUUAUUAUUAGCAGGGAUAUUGAUGGUUGGGGCUGGAUGAUGCUUGGUUGUAGAAGGUUGUUUGCAGCAUUGUAGGUUAUGUAACAGCAUUCCUAGCCUUUACUAACUAGAUCUGAGUAGCACCUGCUAAGUUGGGACAGCUGGAUAUGUCUCUAGAUAUUGCCAAACAUUCCCUGGGGGAACAAAAUUGUCCCCACUUGAAAAUUACCCCUGCUGUUCUAUAUAUUAAAAACGAGAGCCCUGCACAUGUUUCCCAUCCCCUUAUCAUGAGAAGACACGUGACUUAAUAAUCUUGUGAUUAAUAUUUAAUAAAGAAUCUCACCAUGAAGUUACAUGAUGGUGCUGAAUCACAGGCACAGGACCUCACACCCUGUAAGUGGGACCUGUCUCUUCCCUCCCUUCUACUGGUAUUCAAUAAGAAUGGAGCCAAAAGCCACAUCUUCAAUAAAGCACAUAACAGAGAAGCAUGUAUGUUCCUACUUCUCUGAUAUGUAUUUACUGUUUUCUGUUAAUUUUUAAUUCUGUAAUUAAUAAUGAGUUCAGUAUUAAAAAUAUUAAAACAUUAUUUUCAGCAUUAGAGUAAAUUAGAGAAUCUGAAAACCCUCCUGCCAUACCUACAAAUAUCUAAAAUAUAGUAAACAUUCUUUUAACUACAUAGCUAUGUACACAAAAGUAAAGAGUUUCUAUUGACCAAAACUGGUGCUCAGGGCCUGAAACCCAUGAAGUGAUAUUGUGUUAGAUUUCCCGUGUUUGUUGCCAAGAUCCUUGAGUUUUAAGAGCCACAAUAAUAUAAAAAACAAAGCCUUGAAUUCAUGCAAGCAGGAGAGUUGGAACUGAAAACCUCCAGAAAACUGAUCCUUCCUAGGCUAUAAAUGUAAUGAAAGGUUUGAUUUAGGGAAGAAAGUCAGCAGACAGCACCAGAUGACAAGUUGGCUUCUUUCUUUUAAAAUUUUAUUAGGCAUUAAAACCAAAAGAUUCCCAGCAUUACCUUCCAAUUAAAAAUAAUGUUAAUAAAAAUAAUUUUAAAACAAAAAACCUCCAAACCCCCAAAGAUUUACCUUAUUAUUGAAAGACAUGGGCCUAUACUUAACAGUUUAAAUUGUAAGUUUACAUUAACUCUAUUAUACUGUACAGGAGCCUCUGAGCUGAGAAAUUACACAAAAAUGACCCUGGCAGGUAGUACUUCCACAGGAAAGCAAUUAAAAGCCCUCUGUAGAAGAACGCAUUGUCCAUCUUGGCGACAUAAUCCCAACUGUUACAUGUCUCAACGUGUCACAAGACAAAAAUAUAAAAAACAAACAUGCAGUCCCUAACAGAGCUAAGGAGCAGUAAAUUAGACAUUCCAGAGCUUCAAAUUAUAGAAAUACCAGGAAAGCCAUAAAAGAAGAAAUAUUAAAAACAUGAGAAAUGAAUAUUAUAUUAUUUUUAAAAAAAGACAAAGUAGGUUUCAAAAAUAUCCAAAUAUAACUCCAGGAGAUGAAAUAAAAAACCUGACUGAUGAGGUUCAAGUCUCAUUGAGUUACCCACCAUUUCUAUCUCUGUUCUCUCUUUUCCAAUGCUAAACUCUGUUCAGUGUGUUCAUUUCCCAUGCUGUGUGUAUGUGUGCAUCCAUAAAAACUAUGUAGUAUUGUUUGUAUUCUUUAGUGUUAGUGGUAUUAGUCCAUAUAUAUUGUUCUGAAAAUUAAUUUUUAUCAUUCAACAUUAGUUUUUGGAGAUGUAGCCAUAUUGCAUAUGGAUCUAGCUUGUUUUUUCUUUUUUCACUUGUAUGCACAGUAUAAAUAUACCAGCUUACUUAUACAUUUUUUUCCUUAGUGGACCAUAGUUGGCUUAUGUAUUUUUUGUUAUAAACCAUGUUGCAAGGGACUCCCUACGUUUAUCUCUCAGCGCAUAAUUGCGAAUGUUUCUCUAUGAUAAAUACCACAAAGUAGAAUUUCUGAGUUAGAAAUUACGCACAUCUUUAUUUUAAUAUAUACCUCCAUAUUGCCCUUUAAAAUAUCACGACAGUUGGCCCCUUCCCCUGAUCCACAUAUUAGGCUUAUAUUUUACUUUUUGAAGAGGUAAGCAUAAAUUUUGGAUACUGAAUUUUUACUUUUUAUAGAAGUUGCAAAUAUUUUUUCCCACUUGCCUUUAAACUUGUAUGCGGUGCUUUUUAGUUGUGAAGAAGUUUUAUUAUAUGUUUUCUCCUAUUAUUUGUAUACUUUUCCACCUUUUGCUUUUUAACCCAUAUGUGAUAUAGUUUUAUAUUUUGUAUGUGAUAAGGAACUAAUUUUGUGGUUAUUGUUUUGUACUGUUAGCCAGCAUCUCAACACUCUCUAAAAGAAUAGUUCUCCUUUUUCUGAUAGUUUUGAAAUAUCACUGUAAUUAUAUUUCGGCUCCCAUACUCUGUUCUGUUUCUCUACUCUUUCAUUGUUUUACAAAGUUAUUAAAGUAUUUCCCAAAGCAAGAAGUACAUUUUACUUUGUAACCUGAUGCACCAUUCACGCACAUGUGAAACAAAACAUUCCUCAAAUGACACCCACACCUAAUAUGCUUAUUAUAUUCUGAUAAUUUCUUUUAUUCCAAUCCAUUAAUAAACAAAUCUGGUGAUAACUAUUAAGUUGAUUUCCUGAUCCACUAAUAGAUUUUGGCUUGCAGUCUGAAAAGUUUGACCUGUUAAUUCAUUAAUUUUAAUUCAUUAAUUUCUUGGCAUUUUGUGAUAUUAAGAUGUUAGUAUUAUUUUUAAAACAUUGUAUCUUUUUAUCUCUGUUCUUUUUUAAGAAACAGAUUUUCUUUCUUGGAGUUUAAUUCUUUCACAUACACUUUAAAAUUGGGUUUCGUAAAAAGUGCUUUUGGAAUUUGACUGAUUCUUCACUUACUCUUUAGAUUUAUUUUGGAGAAAAUUAAUAUUUUUAUGCUAUUACCAUCUACGAUUUAGAUCUCAUUUGAUUUAGAGUGUCUAUUGCACUUAAUUAAACUUAAUUGUAAUUUAUUUUUGAGUUAUACAUCCCCUGCUGGAUUAAUACUUUUAAAAUCACCUCUGUAUCACAUAUAGCAUAUAAAAAUAUUAACAAAUUUAUUUGAGACAAUGAAUGAGUCAACUGUGUGAGACAAGAACUUCUUAUACAUUUCUUGCAUAUCUCCUAAAGUACUUUCUGCCUAGAAUUCCUCAUAUAAUUGAUGAGGCAGAAUUUUAAUAUGCUUGAACCUUCAGUCUAAGGCAAGGUGCCUUAUCUGUCUACAGAUGUGAUUCUGCAUUGUAAACCCUCUAUUCCAGGAGCCAGUUGCAUUAUUACAACCACUUCAACAAAAAUUUAUUGAAAGCCCGGUUUACAAUGAUGAACAUGGCAGACUUCCCUUUCUGCCACCCCCCCCCGUGUCAUACAGUUUAUGUUUUAAUGGGGAGAGACAAUGAA